This 303-nucleotide ribosomal RNA is filed under the name Loimia arborea. Its description in RNAcentral is "partial 16S ribosomal RNA". The record is from RNAcentral. Lineage: Eukaryota; Metazoa; Annelida; Polychaeta; Terebellida; Terebellidae.
CCUUUAAUUGUGGGCUAGAAUGAAUGGAUAAACGAGAGAUUAGCUGUCUCUAACUUACAUUUAAAAAUUGACCUACAGGUGAAGAGACCUGUAUUAAAAUAAAGGACAAGAAGACCCCGUAGAGCUCCGCUUUUGAUUAAUCAAUAAUAACAACUAUUUAUAGUUAAUUAAUCCUUUAAUCUAAGCUUGGCUGGGGCGGCCAAGGAGAAAAAUAUAUCCUCCAUUUUCACCUAUAAAGCUCUUUUAGGUUUAUUCACCGUUUUAUUUAAUGACCCUUUUCAGAUCACAAAACUAAGCUACCUC